GAAAUGCGAUAAGUAAUGUGAAUUGCAGAAUUCAGUGAAUCAUCGAAUCUUUGAACGCACAUUGCGCCCGCCAGCACUCUGGCGGGCAUGCCUGUUCGAGCGUCAUUUCAACCCUCAGAACCCCUUGCGGGAUCUGGCGUUGGGGAUUGGCAUCCAGCCAGCCCCGAAAUCUAGUGGCGGUCCCUCCGCGACCUCCCCUGUGCAGUAGCGAUACCUCGCAGCGGGACAGCGGUCUGACCACGCCGUAAAACCCCCAACUUCUCAAGGUUGACCUCGAAUCAGGUAGGAAUACCCGCGGAACUUAAGC
Molecule: unclassified non-coding RNA, 307 nt
Filed under: plant metagenome
Description: partial contains 5.8S ribosomal RNA, internal transcribed spacer 2, and large subunit ribosomal RNA
Rfam family: 5.8S ribosomal RNA (bases 1-105)
Source: RNAcentral